Molecule: long non-coding RNA, 199 nt
Organism: Sapajus apella (tufted capuchin)
Lineage: Eukaryota; Metazoa; Chordata; Mammalia; Primates; Cebidae
Exons: 2
Source: RefSeq, a predicted model, not a curated record
GUAAAGCCCAGUCUUUGCCAUUCAUUUCUGUGCAAACCAGGACUGGCUGAUACUACAUAUUCCAGAUGCUCAUCUUUGGGUGAAAAAUUGCCGGGAACUUCUGCAGUCCAACUACAACAAACAGCGCUUUGAUCAACCUUUAGAGGCUUCAACCUGGCUGAAGAAUUUCAAAACUACAAAUGAGCGCUUCCUGAACCAG